GCUAAUACCGCAUACGCCCUACGGGGGAAAGCAGGGGAUCUUCGGACCUUGCGCUAAUAGAUGAGCCUAAGUCGGAUUAGCUAGUUGGUGGGGUAAAGGCCUACCAAGGCGACGAUCUGUAGCGGGUCUGAGAGGAUGAUCCGCCACACUGGGACUGAGACACGGCCCAGACUCCUACGGGAGGCAGCAGUGGGGAAUAUUGGACAAUGGGCGGAAGCCUGAUCCAGCCAUGCCGCGUGUGUGAAGAAGGCCUUUUGGUUGUAAAGCACUUUAAGCGAGGAGGAGGCUCCUUUAGUUAAUACCUAAAGAGAGUGGACGUUACUCGCAGAAUAAGCACCGGCUAACUCUGUGCCAGCAGCCGCGGUAAUACAGAGGGUGCGAGCGUUAAUCGGAUUUACUGGGCGUAAAGCGUGCGUAGGCGGCUUUUUAAGUCGGAUGUGAAAUCCCUGAGCUUAACUUAGGAAUUGCAUUCGAUACUGGGAAGCUAGAGUAUGGGAGAGGAUGGUAGAAUUCCAGGUGUAGCGGUGAAAUGCGUAGAGAUCUGGAGGAAUACCGAUGGCGAAGGCAGCCAUCUGGCCUAAUACUGACGCUGAGGUACGAAAGCAUGGGGAGCAAACAGGAUUAGAUACCCUGGUAGUCCAUGCCGUAAACGAUGUCUACUAGCCGUUGGGGCCUUUGAGGCUUUAGUGGCGCAGCUAACGCGAUAAGUAG
This 711-nucleotide ribosomal RNA is filed under the name Acinetobacter sp. MDMC348. RNAcentral describes it as "bacterial SSU rRNA". It matches the Rfam family "Bacterial small subunit ribosomal RNA", at positions 162 to 867 of the family's 1533-position model. Lineage: Bacteria; Pseudomonadati; Pseudomonadota; Gammaproteobacteria; Moraxellales; Moraxellaceae. The record is from RNAcentral.